RNAcentral lists this ribosomal RNA (253 nucleotides) under uncultured bacterium. RNAcentral's name for it is "partial 16S ribosomal RNA". It matches the Rfam family "Bacterial small subunit ribosomal RNA", at positions 524 to 776 of the family's 1533-position model. The record is from RNAcentral.
UACGAAGGGUGCAAGCGUUAAUCGGAAUUACUGGGCGUAAAGCGUGCGUAGGCGGUCUUUUAAGUCUGCUGUGAAAUCCCCGGGCUCAACCUGGGAAUGGCAGUGGAUACUGGGAGGCUAGAGUGUGUCAGAGGAUGGUGGAAUUCCCGGUGUAGCGGUGAAAUGCGUAGAGAUCGGGAGGAACAUCAGUGGCGAAGGCGAGUCCCUGGACAACUUCUGACGCUGAGGCACGAAAGCUAGGGGAGCAAACAGG